GUGCUUGCUCCAGCAGCACAUAUACUAAAGUUGGAAAGAUACAAAGACAAUCAGCAUGAACCCUAUGCAAGGAUGACAAACAAAUUCAUGAUGCAUUCCAUACUCUG
This is a small nuclear RNA of Jaculus jaculus (lesser Egyptian jerboa), 107 nucleotides long. The record is from Ensembl. NCBI's taxonomy places the organism in Eukaryota, Metazoa, Chordata, Mammalia, Rodentia, Dipodidae.